GAUGAACGCUGGCGGCGUGCCUAAUACAUGCAAGUCGAGCGAACGGACGAGAAGCUUGCUUCUCUGAUGUUAGCGGCGGACGGGUGAGUAACACGUGGAUAACCUACCUAUAAGACUGGGAUAACUUCGGGAAACCGGAGCUAAUACCGGAUGAUAUUUUGAACCGCAUGGUUCAAAAGUGAAAGACGGUCUUGCUGUCACUUAUAGAUGGAUCCGCGCUGCAUUAGCUAGUUGGUAAGGUAACGGCUUACCAAGGCAACGAUGCAUAGCCGACCUGAGAGCGUGAUCGGCCACACUGGAACUGAGACACGGUCCAGACUCCUACGGGAGGCAGCAGUAGGGAAUCUUCCGCAAUGGGCGAAAGCCUGACGGAGCAACGCCGCGUGAGUGAUGAAGGUCUUCGGAUCGUAAAACUCUGUUAUUAGGGAAGAACAUAUGUGUAAGUAACUGUGCACAUCUUGACGGUACCUAAUCAGAAAGCCACGGCUAACUACGUG
Molecule: ribosomal RNA, 497 nt
Filed under: uncultured bacterium
Lineage: Bacteria
Description: partial 16S ribosomal RNA
Rfam family: Bacterial small subunit ribosomal RNA
Source: RNAcentral